This 138-nucleotide small nucleolar RNA is filed under the name Ornithorhynchus anatinus (platypus). Lineage: Eukaryota; Metazoa; Chordata; Mammalia; Monotremata; Ornithorhynchidae. The record is from RNAcentral.
CUCCUCUCAGGAUUGAGCCUGGAGAGUUUCCAGUACUCUACCAGUCUCAGCUAUGGGAGGGAGAAUCAAGCAGAGGCCUACCCAUUCCAUUCCUGGCUUGGGCAGUGGCUAGCGAGCAGAAGGCAAUCUGCUACAGGU